This 28-nucleotide non-coding RNA is filed under the name Homo sapiens (human). Lineage: Eukaryota; Metazoa; Chordata; Mammalia; Primates; Hominidae. The record is from RNAcentral.
UGGAAAUGUUCCCAAACACAGGUAUGGC